GGAUGCAGAGGUGGAGGAAAACAAAGAAAAGCAGAGCAGAAGCCCAUCGCCUGGGGAAACUCUACCUUAUUAGGGAAUUGAAAAACAUAGGUUCUCUCCAUGGAACACUGCAGAAGCAUGAUGGCUAAUUCGUUUGACAAGCUGGCAGGUCAAUCAACACCCUUCAGCCUGACUGUACCAGGUGUGCAUCCCUGCCCCCAAGAGUGUGCAGAUGGCAGCUACUAAUUUUCAUUCUAAAAGCAUUCCAGUAUAUAUUGUGGCUUUUGGUCUGAUUCAUCAGGCCAUAGAGACAAUAAAGAUGAGGAGGGUGACCUCUAGCUCCCAAUAUAGCCUAAGAGUCACAAAUUGUGGUGUGACAAUUGGCAUAAUUCUUGUAGAGGCAUUGCUGAACCCAUACAUGUGAGCUGCUGGCCGGCCUCAACAAAAGGGCCAAGAUACCUGGCUUAUGACUAGGUCAUUUACAAUAAAGUACCUGCUGUACAGCUGCCAAGCUUGCUAUAUAAGUGUGCAAAAAUUUGGAAUUCAGACCACAAGAAUGCUGUCUGAGUCUUCAGGCACCUGGUCAUCUGGGUCCAGGUUGAUGCUGCAGCAUGUCUUCUAACCCGCCUACCACCAGAGGGCAGCAGCGUACAUUCACAACAAUUGUUGAGAAGUGGAAGCCGAUGAAUCUUAUGUGC
RNAcentral lists this long non-coding RNA (677 nucleotides) under Mus musculus (house mouse). Its description in RNAcentral is "predicted gene 14974". The record is from RNAcentral. Lineage: Eukaryota; Metazoa; Chordata; Mammalia; Rodentia; Muridae.